This 36-nucleotide transfer RNA is filed under the name Escherichia coli O32:H37 str. P4. RNAcentral's name for it is "partial tRNA-Asn". The record is from RNAcentral. Lineage: Bacteria; Pseudomonadati; Pseudomonadota; Gammaproteobacteria; Enterobacterales; Enterobacteriaceae.
CGUAUGUCACUGGUUCGAGUCCAGUCAGAGGAGCCA